This 415-nucleotide ribosomal RNA is filed under the name uncultured bacterium. Its description in RNAcentral is "bacterial SSU rRNA". It matches the Rfam family "Bacterial small subunit ribosomal RNA", at positions 358 to 770 of the family's 1533-position model. The record is from RNAcentral.
GGAAUAUUGGUCAAUAGGCGGAAGCCUGAACCAGCCAUGCCGCGUGCAGGAUGACUGCCCUAUGGGUUGUAAACUGCUUUUGUCCAGGAAUAAACUUAAAUACGAGUAUUUAGCUGAAUGUACUGGAAGAAUAAGGAUCGGCUAACUCCGUGCCAGCAGCCGCGGUAAUACGGAGGAUCCGAGCGUUAUCCGGAUUUAUUGGGUUUAAAGGGUGCGUAGGCGGCGCGUUAAGUCAGGGGUGAAAUACGGUGGCUCAACCAUCGCAGUGCCUUUGAUACUGACGUGCUUGAAUCCAUAUGAAGUGGGCGGAAUAAGACAAGUAGCGGUGAAAUGCAUAGAUAUGUAUUAGAACUCCGAUUGCGAAGGCAGCUCACUAAGCUGGUAUUGACGCUGAUGCACGAAAGCGUGGGGAUCG